This 75-nucleotide transfer RNA is filed under the name Scleropages formosus (Asian bonytongue). RNAcentral describes it as "tRNA-Ala". The record is from RNAcentral. Lineage: Eukaryota; Metazoa; Chordata; Actinopteri; Osteoglossiformes; Osteoglossidae.
GAGCGGGUCGCACAGUGUUUAGGGCAUUAGCCUUGCAAAUCUGAUGGUCUUGGGCUUGAACCCCCAUCCUGCUCU